GAUGAACGCUAGCGGCAGGCUUAACACAUGCAAGUCGAGGGGUAACAGGGGAGCUUGCUUCCGCUGACGACCGGCGCACGGGUGAGUAUCGCGUAUAGAACCUACCUUUUACAGGGGAAUAGCCCAGAGAAAUUUGGAUUAAUGCCCCAUAGUAUUAUUGAAUGGCAUCGUUUAAUAAUUAAACAUUUAUGGGUAAAGAUGGCUAUGCGUUCUAUUAGCUAGAUGGUAAGGUAACGGCUUACCAUGGCAACGAUAGAUAGGGGUCCUGAGAGGGAGAUCCCCACACUGGUACUGAGACACGGACCAGACUCCUACGGGAGGCAGCAGUGAGGAAUAUCGGACAAUGGAGGCAACUCUGAUCCAGCCAUGCCGCGUGCAGGAAGACGGCCCUAUGGGUUGUAAACUGCUUUUAUACAGGAAGAAACCUUUCCACGUGUGGAGAGCUGACGGUACUGUAAGAAUAAGCACCGGCUAACUCCGUG
Molecule: ribosomal RNA, 482 nt
Filed under: uncultured bacterium
Lineage: Bacteria
Description: bacterial SSU rRNA
Rfam family: Bacterial small subunit ribosomal RNA
Source: RNAcentral